RNAcentral lists this long non-coding RNA (329 nucleotides) under Theropithecus gelada (gelada). RNAcentral's name for it is "lncRNA (ENSTGEG00000003945.1)". Lineage: Eukaryota; Metazoa; Chordata; Mammalia; Primates; Cercopithecidae. The record is from RNAcentral.
UUUCCAAAUAUAGUGUAUUUGGUGUAGUGAAGAAGAAACAUGCAAAAAAUAUUGUUUUCCAUAUUUCGGGUGUAAAUUCGGUUCUAUAUAUUGGUUAAACUGUGCAGUUGACAUGUUUGGAAUCAUGAUGCUUCUACUCCUUGCAAUGCUAAUUACAGGAUUCAUUUGGUACUGCUGCGCCUAUCUCUUUUACCUGCAGGAUAUAUGCUGAAUAGAUAAUUGAAAAUAGAUCUUCCAGAAAGAGCAGAAGGAAGUUUCUUCAAUGGCUUCCUUCAGGAUUUUAAGCAUCCUUACAGCCUCUUUGAGAAUGAUUGAACUUCCAAAUUUCC